AGUUCGGCACUUCGAGAUGGAUAAGGAAUGUCGAGCCGCCGAGCUUGCCGGGAGAUUCGGUCUUGCCAUCGCCGUGGCUGCAAUACUCCGGGAAGUAGUCCAUCAGAUACACGGCCGCGCCGUUCACGUUCAUCUGGGCGNCGCUUGCCGUCUUCCGCCGGCAUGCGCAGCGUUUCGGUCGCACCGAAGGCCUUGCUGUAGA
This 202-nucleotide unclassified non-coding RNA is filed under the name Hevea brasiliensis (rubber tree). Lineage: Eukaryota; Viridiplantae; Streptophyta; Magnoliopsida; Malpighiales; Euphorbiaceae. The record is from RNAcentral.